GUGCUCGCUUUGGCAGCACAUAUAGUAAAAUUGGAAUGAUACAGAGAAGAUCAGCACCGCCCUGCUCAAGGAUGACAUGCAAAUUUGUGAAGAGUUCCAUAGUUUU
Molecule: small nuclear RNA, 106 nt
Organism: Bubalus bubalis (water buffalo)
Lineage: Eukaryota; Metazoa; Chordata; Mammalia; Artiodactyla; Bovidae
Source: RefSeq, a predicted model, not a curated record